AAACAUUUCAUUGCUGCAGAGACCAGCUUCAGGGAAGGAGCAGGAGGAGUGUCCGGUUGCUGCACAGUCGGCUUAGGAGGGAGGGCUGCUUCCCCUUCAGCUGCUUCCAACUCAGAGCAACCUACUGCAGCCUUAAGCUCCGCAGCAGAUGAACAAGCAGGCUUCCCACUCCAUCAUGGAGACAGACAGGGAGAGACCCCGCUUCCAGCUACCGCAACACUUACAGUGUCCAGCGCCCUGUUUCCAGCUACCGCGACACCCGCAAUGUGUCUGGCACCCCGUUUCCAGCUACCGCAACACCCGCAACGUGUCCGGCGCCUCACUUCCAGUUACUGCAACAACUGCAGCUUGUCCGGUGCCCCACUUCCAGCUACCGUGACACCCACAGCUUGUCCGGCGCCCCGCUUCCAGCAACUGCGACACCCAUAAUGUGUCC
RNAcentral lists this long non-coding RNA (436 nucleotides) under Gallus gallus (chicken). RNAcentral's name for it is "long non-coding RNA NONGGAT001223". The record is from RNAcentral. Lineage: Eukaryota; Metazoa; Chordata; Aves; Galliformes; Phasianidae.